ACAGGCACUGUAACAUACAGUAGAAAGUAUGUGUACUCUUCCCCCUUUUCCCAUGCCCUGACACCAGUAUCUCAUUUGGAACUGACUGUACUUUCUGCCUCUUCUUUUUGUCUGGCCAUGGGGUCCAGCUAUUGCAGUACAAGGCAGACAUCAAUGCAGUGAAUGAACAUGGGAAUGUGCCCCUGCACUAUGCCUGUUUUUGGGGCCAAGAUCAAGUGGCAGAGGACCUGGUGGCAAAUGGGGCCCUUGUCAGCAUCUGUAACAAGUAUGGAGAGAUGCCUGUGGACAAAGCCAAGGCACCCCUGAGAGAGCUUCUCCGAGAGCGGGCAGAGAAGAUGGGCCAGAAUCUCAACCGUAUUCCAUACAAGGACACAUUCUGGAAGGGGACCACCCGCACUCGGCCCCGAAAUGGAACCCUGAACAAACACUCUGGCAUUGACUUCAAACAGCUUAACUUCCUGACGAAGCUCAACGAGAAUCACUCCGGAGAGCUAUGGAAGGGCCGCUGGCAGGGCAAUGACAUUGUCGUGAAGGUGCUGAAGGUUCGAGACUGGAGUACAAGGAAGAGCAGGGACUUCAAUGAAGAGUGUCCCCGGCUCAGGAUUUUCUCGCAUCCAAAUGUGCUCCCAGUGCUAGGUGCCUGCCAGUCUCCACCUGCUCCUCAUCCUACUCUCAUCACACACUGGAUGCCAUAUGGAUCCCUCUACAAUGUACUACAUGAAGGCACCAAUUUCGUCGUGGACCAGAGCCAGGCUGUGAAGUUUGCUUUGGACAUGGCAAGGGGCAUGGCCUUCCUACACACACUAGAGCCCCUCAUCCCACGACAUGCACUCAAUAGCCGUAGUGUAAUGAUUGAUGAGGACAUGACUGCCCGAAUUAGCAUGGCUGAUGUCAAGUUCUCUUUCCAAUGUCCUGGUCGCAUGUAUGCACCUGCCUGGGUAGCCCCU
This 947-nucleotide small RNA is filed under the name Pan troglodytes (chimpanzee). RNAcentral describes it as "retained intron". Lineage: Eukaryota; Metazoa; Chordata; Mammalia; Primates; Hominidae. The record is from RNAcentral.